CCCUUAGAUGUUCGGGGCCGCACGCGCGUUACACUGAAGGAAUCAGCACGUCUUUCUCCUUGUCCGAAAGGACUGGGUAACCCGCUGAACCUCCUUCGUGCUAGGGAUUGGGGCUUGUAAUUCUUCCCCAUGAACGAGGAAUUCCCAGUAAGCGCGAGUCAUAAGCUCGCGUUGAUUACGUCCCUGCCCUUUGUACACACCGCCCGUCGCUACUACCGAUUGGAUGGUUUAGUGAGAUCCUCGGAUUGGUCCCGGCGCGGCCUCUGGUCGUGCCGGAGUGCCGAAAAGAAUGUCGAACUUGAUCAUCUAGAGGAAGUAAAAGUCGUAACA
RNAcentral lists this ribosomal RNA (330 nucleotides) under uncultured eukaryote. Its description in RNAcentral is "partial 18S ribosomal RNA". It matches the Rfam family "Eukaryotic small subunit ribosomal RNA", at positions 1470 to 1796 of the family's 1831-position model. The record is from RNAcentral.